UCCUACGGGAGGCAGCAGUGGGGAAUAUUGCACAAUGGGGGAAACCCUGAUGCAGCCAUGCCGCGUGUGUGAAGAAGGCCUUCGGGUUGUAAAGCACUUUCAGCGAGGAGGAAAGGUUGGUAGCUAAUAACUGCCAGCUGUGACGUACUC
This 150-nucleotide ribosomal RNA is filed under the name uncultured Aeromonas sp. RNAcentral's name for it is "partial 16S ribosomal RNA". It matches the Rfam family "Bacterial small subunit ribosomal RNA", at positions 337 to 480 of the family's 1533-position model. Lineage: Bacteria; Pseudomonadati; Pseudomonadota; Gammaproteobacteria; Aeromonadales; Aeromonadaceae. The record is from RNAcentral.